This is a long non-coding RNA of Ooceraea biroi (clonal raider ant), 1610 nucleotides long. RefSeq lists it as uncharacterized. The record is from RefSeq and is a predicted model, not a curated record. NCBI's taxonomy places the organism in Eukaryota, Metazoa, Arthropoda, Insecta, Hymenoptera, Formicidae.
UUAAAAAUCCAUAUUUAAUACAUGAAAAUUUUUCUGACCUUUCUACUUCUUUUAGACGGAUCUUUUUAAUUCUAUUCAUCAUAUUCUGACUCAUCUCUCAUUUUCAUCAUUUGCAUGUGAAUCUUAAAAUGAUAAUAUUUUGUUAUAAAAAUGAAGAAAUACACACAUUGUUCAUAAAAACUCCAAGAGUCAACUCUAGGAGAAAGAGAGAGUACAUCGAUUUGUUCGAUCCCAUAAAUAAAACAUUGCCUACAGAGGCUACAACCGUUCCAGUUGGCAAACAACUUUUGUUUCUAGACAAUAAUUGGAGUUGUAAAUUUAAACGUUUGAUACAGUUUGUCAAAUUAUUAACACAAGUUUAAUAAAACUAGAAUUUAUUUGCAGCUAGAAUUUACUAUCAUUAUCAUCAAGAGAAAAGACAAAAUAUGAUAAUUUUACUUAUGAUAAAUGACAAUAUUGACAUAUAUUAAUUAUUAUUAUCAAUAAAAAAUAAAAACGUGAUUAAUAACAUGUCAAAAUUGAUCUAUCCAAAAGUCUUUAGAGUUCGGAAUUGUGGAAAAAUAAUUCUUACUUGAGUGAAUAUGAAAUAUGAAAUAUUUAUAUAGACAUUUUAUUUCACAAUUAUUGAUCUUAUAAGUUUCAUGUCAAAGUGAUUUGUCAGAAUAACGUUACUAAGCCUUAAUGUGAUAAACACAUGUCAUGUUCAAUCCAAUGUAUUUCAAAGAACCGUGAGCUAGGUCACUUAUAUGUGAAUCGAUAAACAAGUGAUGUAUCACGUUUACUACUCGAGUCAUUCAUUAAAUUGCGUCGCUAAAGUAACAUUAACCCUUUGACUACAGAGCGCUCGGAAAAAAAGACAUUUUUGCGGCACGAAGGCGGCACGAAGGCGGCACGCGGCAGUAAUCGGCACAAUGAGCGAAGCGCAAUAAAAACAUUUCCAAACAAACAGCUUUGGCCAUUCAUCGGGCCUGGUGAAAAGCUCGUGGAGCGAUUUCUUCAAAAAGAAAUUCGAAAAAAGAAGGAUGUAUUGCCUAGAAAUACAACCACGAGUUUCGAAGAAUGCGCUUUGGAAACAUCCAAUAUUAGAUCUGUGGUACCAAAACAAAGUGCUUGAACUUUAUUACACAGUUUCCACUCAUCUAGAAGUUCAUGCAGCUCACAAGCUUAGUCGUUUCCGCAGGAAUUUCCAAUAAUUUUUCAAAUAAUUUGUAAAUUGUUUUAUUUAUUAAUCAUUAUUUCUAUGAUCUUGUUUUAUCUCUGUCUGGCAAUUUCUACAUUUCUUUUUCAAACGUUUUUAUAAUUUUAAUAAUUAAAAUAAGAAAUAACAUUAUACUUAAUAUAAUACAGAGCAGCUCAGAGCGAGAUGCGAGAUGUAACGUUAUACGAGAAGAGAACGCUCUCUUAUGUGAUGACCAACGCCGCUUAUGUCAUUCUCGCUUUUGUUUCCUUACGAAUUGCGAAAGAUAUGCAGCGUGUACGUAAGUACAGCUGCGCUGUCAUAUAAUAUAACCGUGAUCAAUACUGAGAUUUUCACUUACAUGUAUAUUUAUAAGGAGCAGUCGUGACAAAUAUCCUUUCGAAACAAGAUAAUAAAUAAAAGCUUAAUUUCU